Molecule: long non-coding RNA, 1138 nt
Organism: Marmota monax (woodchuck)
Lineage: Eukaryota; Metazoa; Chordata; Mammalia; Rodentia; Sciuridae
Exons: 3
Source: RefSeq, a predicted model, not a curated record
AGGACUCUACCUCCUUACUCUAAAAAGAGACAAGUCAAAGGAAAGAAUUGAACAUAACUUCUGCCUUUCCUGAGUGAACUGUGUUUUCAAGUAACCAAAUAGUCCUAUUGAUGAAGAAAAGUUCUUUGCAGAAUUCUAGUUCAUGGAUGUGGAAGGAGGACGUGGCAGGGAGGCACCAUCUGUGAACCAGAAAGUGGGUCUUCAUAAGAUGUUGAAUUCACCAGUGCCUGAAUCUCGGACUUCCAGCCUCCAGAACUGUGUUGAGAUCUUAAAGCUGAAGGAGACCAUGGUCCCUGGUGUGCAGGUCACGUGUGUACCUGGGAGAAGAACAUCUUCCACUACAGGUGUAGCAGAUAGUCUCUUGUGAGCUCAGCUUUGCCUGAGAGUGCCAACAUCCUCUGUCAGCCUCAAGCUUAUAAAGUUUCUAUGUUUUCCAAUGCAGUGGAGGCUCCUUUUCCCCAGGCACGAGUGCAGCUCAAAAGAGUUAACCCCUGGAAGCAGCCUUCCGUGGGUCUGGGAGCUGGUGGAUAAAGCUGUGGCUUCCUGUCCCUCAGCAGAGGAUUCUGGGAGACGUGAUGGAGCUCUUCGGGAGGUGCCUGUGGAGUGGAGUUCCUGCCACCCACUGCUGCAGCCUUGAUAAUGGACAGGGAUAUUGACUUCUUUCUCACUCACCCAGUUCCUCACUCCUGCUUCCUGCUGUCACAUGCCAGAAUAAACUAGAGCCUCCCAAGUCCAUCUCAGCUCUGCUUUCAGGAGAACAAAGUCCUGAAGGAGGCUGCUGUUCAGUGUGGUGUUGUCCAAGAGACCCAGUGUGAGCCACAUGCCAGCUUACAGAUUUCCAGCAGCCACAGUAGAAUCAUCAAGAGAAAUAGGUGAAAUUAAUCCUAUAAAUAUAUUUAAUCCGAUAUUCUCCCAAUGUUGCAUUUAACAUGGAACCAACGUAGAAUAUGAUUAACGCGGCAUUUUACAUUUUUUCAUACUGAGGCUUCAAAAUUUGGUGGGUAAUUUAUAAUUUACCCGUUAGGCCCAUCUCAAUUUAAACAUUAAAUUUGUAUUGGAAAUAUAUGAUCUGUAGGAAGAUUUCAUAAAACUUUUUGAAAAAGUAUAUUUCUUUACCCAAGCUAUUCUAAACACUUGA